UCCUUAACCUACACUGCUUCUUCAACCAUCUCCUGCGUUUUGUAUUUUUUGAGCCUUUCUACAUGGCUUCAAGAUCUUAUUUUGUGGUUCUUCAUGAUUAUACAAGAGCCAAAAGAGAAUGUGCUUUGAUAAGGAACUUUGUAGAUGAAUACAUUGAUUUCAUCUCCACUGGUCGUGCACACGGAGCAGUGGUUUUGAUCCAGCUUGGGAAAGGAAAGACGCACCCACGUGUAAAUCACGAGGCGGAUCACGCUCCCACUUGCAGUAACUGUGAAGGAUUAUAAGGACCUUAGUCAAGUUUUUGCCUGCAGGUUGGUUCAUGUGAAGUUGUUCGCCAAUGUUGUGAAAAACUAUAUAACAAAGUUAACUUUGUAUAACUAUGUCCAUACAUGAGUUAAAGAGGGUCUCCUGGUUAAUUUCAUA
Molecule: long non-coding RNA, 423 nt
Organism: Lotus japonicus
Lineage: Eukaryota; Viridiplantae; Streptophyta; Magnoliopsida; Fabales; Fabaceae
Exons: 3
Source: RefSeq, a predicted model, not a curated record